RNAcentral lists this ribosomal RNA (764 nucleotides) under Enterobacter asburiae. RNAcentral describes it as "bacterial SSU rRNA". It matches the Rfam family "Bacterial small subunit ribosomal RNA", at positions 80 to 840 of the family's 1533-position model. The record is from RNAcentral. Lineage: Bacteria; Pseudomonadati; Pseudomonadota; Gammaproteobacteria; Enterobacterales; Enterobacteriaceae.
GCUCUCGGGUGACGAGUGGCGGACGGGUGAGUAAUGUCUGGGAAACUGCCUGAUGGAGGGGGAUAACUACUGGAAACGGUAGCUAAUACCGCAUAACGUCGCAAGACCAAAGAGGGGGACCUUCGGGCCUCUUGCCAUCAGAUGUGCCCAGAUGGGAUUAGCUAGUAGGUGGGGUAACGGCUCACCUAGGCGACGAUCCCUAGCUGGUCUGAGAGGAUGACCAGCCACACUGGAACUGAGACACGGUCCAGACUCCUACGGGAGGCAGCAGUGGGGAAUAUUGCACAAUGGGCGCAAGCCUGAUGCAGCCAUGCCGCGUGUAUGAAGAAGGCCUUCGGGUUGUAAAGUACUUUCAGCGGGGAGGAAGGCGAUAAGGUUAAUAACCUUGUCGAUUGACGUUACCCGCAGAAGAAGCACCGGCUAACUCCGUGCCAGCAGCCGCGGUAAUACGGAGGGUGCAAGCGUUAAUCGGAAUUACUGGGCGUAAAGCGCACGCAGGCGGUCUGUCAAGUCGGAUGUGAAAUCCCCGGGCUCAACCUGGGAACUGCAUUCGAAACUGGCAGGCUAGAGUCUUGUAGAGGGGGGUAGAAUUCCAGGUGUAGCGGUGAAAUGCGUAGAGAUCUGGAGGAAUACCGGUGGCGAAGGCGGCCCCCUGGACAAAGACUGACGCUCAGGUGCGAAAGCGUGNNGAGCAAACAGGAUUAGAUACCCUGGUAGUCCACGCCGUANNCGAUGUCGACUUNNAGGUUGUGCCCUUGAGGCGU